RNAcentral lists this long non-coding RNA (1214 nucleotides) under Homo sapiens (human). Its description in RNAcentral is "HSALNT0063735". Lineage: Eukaryota; Metazoa; Chordata; Mammalia; Primates; Hominidae. The record is from RNAcentral.
UUAAUGGUCUUAAUAUUUAAGACAAUUUUAAAAAUAUUUGUAUUGUCUUAAGCAUAGAUGUAGACAAUGGAACGGAAUUUUGCUGCUAGAACUGUUACAUGUGAAAGAGAUCCUGGUUACCCUGAGUUACGGGCUGCGUUGUAACCGUGCAGCAACUUCAGCCCUUGCCUCCUCAGAAGAAAGAAUUAGACUGAGGCACAUAAAGCAGAAAAAGAGAUCAAGGCUCAGUGGACAACAUGGUAAAAGAAAAUGAUGAACUCAAGGAUUCUAUCUAUCUGCCAGCUUCAGAAGCAGAUACUGAGCCUCAAAUCUGCUAAGAUUGCCCUGAAUGAGAGUCUUAUCUCCUGUAGACAGCUGAAAUUGUGGAAGAACAGACACAAGCUCUUAUUAUGUGAGAGCUGAGCUGCAACAAAAGUUACAUGCACAGCGUAAUCCCAGCUACUCAGGUGGCUGAGGCAGGAGAAUUGCUUCAACCCGGGAGGCAGAGGUUGCAGUGAUCCAAGAUCAUGCCACUGCACUCCAGCCUGGGAGACAGAGAAAGACUCCAUCUCAGGGGAAAAAAAAGAAAAGAAAAGAAAAAGAAAAGAAAACUGAAUAAUACUCUAUUUUUCUACAAUGAAUCUAGAAGAAAAAGAAAAGACCAAAUAUAGGAUUACUUGAAUGAGAUACCGGGAAUGAUCUUCCCCAAUGAGAAGAAAUAAAUGUGUUAAGUGAAACAUAAAAAGGCAUUGCUGAACUGUUAUGGUAAUAAGGAAUCUGCAGAGACACAUUUGUUGGGAAAGUAGAGAUCCACUUCACUUCUCGGGAUCCACUCUGAUGGCUUCAUGGAUAACAGAUCAUAAACUCUAGGACUCAUCAAAGACAAAAAAGAUGGAAUUUGGAGGACAAGACAAGAGAUACUAAGAAGAGUAAACCCAAUAAACAGACUGCAGCACAGAAAGGGUCCAGGACCAGGGAGGUGGCUUGUUCAGGAAAGAGUUAACUCAACAGGUCUGGGAUAUUCAAAUCCCACACAUUUCGAAAAAAAGUUCUCUCCUCAUUGGCUCCUGGGAGAAAAUCUCUACGUCUUUGGACUAUUCUUCCAGGUAUCUACCCAGAAAAAUGGAACUCAUUAUGCAAAAGAGACACUUGCACAUGCAUGUUUACAGCAGCACAAUUUGCAAUUGCAAAAUGAUACUAAAAAAAAAAUCUUACCGGAAGGCAAAAAGAAUCUG